GACGAACGCUGGCGGCGUGCUUAACACAUGCAAGUCGAACGGAAAGGCCCUGCUUUUGUGGGGUGCUCGAGUGGCGAACGGGUGAGUAACACGUGAGUAACCUGCCCUUGACUUUGGGAUAACUUCAGGAAACUGGGGCUAAUACCGGAUAGGAGCUCCUGCUGCAUGGUGGGGGUUGGAAAGUUUCGGCGGUUGGGGAUGGACUCGCGGCUUAUCAGCUUGUUGGUGGGGUAGUGGCUUACCAAGGCUUUGACGGGUAGCCGGCCUGAGAGGGUGACCGGCCACAUUGGGACUGAGAUACGGCCCAGACUCCUACGGGAGGCAGCAGUGGGGAAUAUUGCACAAUGGGCGGAAGCCUGAUGCAGCAACGCCGCGUGCGGGAUGACGGCCUUCGGGUUGUAAACCGCUUUCGCCUGUGACGAAGCGUGAGUGACGGUAAUGGGUAAAGAAGCACCGGCUAACUACGUGCCAGCAGCCGCGGUGAUACGUAGGGUGCGAGCGUUGUCCGGAUUUAUUGGGCGUAAAGGGCUCGUAGGUGGUUGAUCGCGUCGGAAGUGUAAUCUUGGGGCUUAACCCUGAGCGUGCUUUCGAUACGGGUUGACUUGAGGAAGGUAGGGGAGAAUGGAAUUCCUGGUGGAGCGGUGGAAUGCGCAGAUAUCAGGAGGAACACCAGUGGCGAAGGCGGUUCUCUGGGCCUUUCCUGACGCUGAGGAGCGAAAGCGUGGGGAGCGAACAGGCUUAGAUACCCUGGUAGUCCACGCUGUAAACGGUGGGUACUAGGUGUGGGGCCCAUUCCACGGGUUCCGUGCCGUAGCUAACGCUUUAAGUACCCCGCCUGGGGAGUACGGCCGCGAGGCUAAAACUCAAAGGAAUUGACGGGGCCCCGCACAAGCGGCGGAGCAUGCGGAUUAAUUCGAUGCAACGCGUAGAACCUUACCUGGGUUUGACAUGGAUCGGGAGUGCUCAGAGAUGGGUGUGCCUCUUUUGGGGUCGGUUCACAGGUGGUGCAUGGCUGUCGUCAGCUCGUGUCGUGAGAUGUUGGGUUAAGUCCCGCAACGAGCGCAACCCUUGUUCACUGUUGCCAGCACGUUAUGGUGGGGACUCAGUGGAGACCGCCGGGGUCAACUCGGAGGAAGGUGGGGAUGACGUCAAGUCAUCAUGCCCCUUAUGUCCAGGGCUUCACGCAUGCUACAAUGGCUGGUACAGAGAGUGGCGAGCCUGUGAGGGUGAGCGAAUCUCGGAAAGCCGGUCUCAGUUCGGAUUGGGGUCUGCAACUCGACCUCAUGAAGUCGGAGUCGCUAGUAAUCGCAGAUCAGCAACGCUGCGGUGAAUACGUUCCCGGGGCU
RNAcentral lists this ribosomal RNA (1346 nucleotides) under uncultured bacterium. Its description in RNAcentral is "partial 16S ribosomal RNA". It matches the Rfam family "Bacterial small subunit ribosomal RNA", at positions 28 to 1381 of the family's 1533-position model. The record is from RNAcentral.